UGUCAAGCGAGUUACUGGUAACCCAAUGUUCCAUGCAAUGUCUGAGAUCUCCUCCAUUGGCAUCUCUUCAUUCGAGGGUAGCCCUUCCGAUACAUCAACAGAUGCUGCCGUUCCUUUGCAAGAUGAUCCAUGUCGUCAUCUAUAUCAAUCAACAUCUAAUAACCCCAUGGGCCCACACGACAUAGUAGUCAAUAAUGGAUUGGCUAACAUUUCGCAGGUGG
This 221-nucleotide unclassified non-coding RNA is filed under the name Hevea brasiliensis (rubber tree). Lineage: Eukaryota; Viridiplantae; Streptophyta; Magnoliopsida; Malpighiales; Euphorbiaceae. The record is from RNAcentral.